GACGAACGCUGGCGGCGUGCCUAAUACAUGCAAGUAGAACGCUGAAGGAGGAGCUUGCUUCUCUGGAUGAGUUGCGAACGGGUGAGUAACGCGUAGGUAACCUGCCUGGUAGCGGGGGAUAACUAUUGGAAACGAUAGCUAAUACCGCAUAAGAGUAGAUGUCGCAUGACAUUUGCUUAAAAGGUGCAAUUGCAUCACUACCAGAUGGACCUGCGUUGUAUUAGCUAGUUGGUGAGGUAACGGCUCACCAAGGCAACGAUACAUAGCCGACCUGAGAGGGGGAUCGGCCACACUGGGACUGAGACACGGCCCAGACUCCUACGGGAGGCAGCAGUAGGGAAUCUUCGGCAAUGGACGGAAGUCUGACCGAGCAACGCCGCGUGAGUGAAGAAGGUUUUCGGAUCGUAAAGCUCUGUUGUAAGUGAAGAACGAGUGUGAGAGUGGAAAGUUCACACUGUGACGGUAUCUUACCAGAAAGGGACGGCUAACUACGUG
This 495-nucleotide ribosomal RNA is filed under the name uncultured bacterium. Its description in RNAcentral is "partial 16S ribosomal RNA". It matches the Rfam family "Bacterial small subunit ribosomal RNA", at positions 28 to 507 of the family's 1533-position model. The record is from RNAcentral.